CCUACGGGUGGCAGCAGUGAGGAAUAUUGGUCAAUGGACGAAAGUCUGAACCAGCCAAGUAGCGUGAAGGAUGACUGCCCUAUGGGUUGUAAACUUCUUUUAUAAAGGAAUAAAGCGAUCCACGUGUGCCUUUUUGCAUGUACUUUAUGAAUAAGGAUCGGCUAACUCCGUGCCAGCAGCCGCGGUAAUACGGAGGAGCCGAGCUUUAUCCGGAUUUAUUGGGUUUAAAGGGUGCGUAGGCGGUCUUUUAAGCCGGCGGUCAAAUGUCGGGGCUCAACCCCGGCCUGCCGUCGGAACUGGGUGACUUGAGUGGGUGAGAAGUAGGCGGAAUGCGUGGUGUAGCGGUGAAAUGCAUAGAUAUCACGCAGAACCCCGAUUGCGAAGGCAGCAUACUGGAGCCUUACUGACGCUGAGGCACGAAAGCGCGGGGAUCGAACAGGAUUAGAUACCCUUGUAGUC
This 459-nucleotide ribosomal RNA is filed under the name uncultured bacterium. RNAcentral's name for it is "partial 16S ribosomal RNA". It matches the Rfam family "Bacterial small subunit ribosomal RNA", at positions 338 to 795 of the family's 1533-position model. The record is from RNAcentral.